Molecule: ribosomal RNA, 253 nt
Filed under: uncultured bacterium
Lineage: Bacteria
Description: partial 16S ribosomal RNA
Rfam family: Bacterial small subunit ribosomal RNA
Source: RNAcentral
UACGUAGGGGGCGAGCGUUGUCCGGAAUCAUUGGGCGUAAAGAGCGUGUAGGCGGUCCGGUAAGUCAGCUGUGAAAGUCAAGGGCUCAACCCUUGAAAGCCGGUUGAUACUGUCGGGCUAGAGUCCGGAAGAGGCGAGUGGAAUUCCCGGUGUAGCGGUGAAAUGCGCAGAUAUCGGGAGGAACACCAAUGGCGAAGGCAGCUCGCUGGGACGGUACUGACGCUGAGACGCGAAAGCGUGGGGAGCAAACAGG